CAAUAGCGUAUAUUAAAGUUGUUGCGGUAAAAAAGCUCGUAGUUGGAUUUCUACCGAAGAUAGCCGGUCGGGUCUUCGACCUUGUAUCCGGUUUUGUCUUUGGUAUCCUCAUAGGGAACGUUUCUGCGCUUUAUUGCGUGGUGCGGUAUCUAUGACUUUUACUUUGAGGAAAUUAGAGUGUUCACGGCAGGCAAACGCCUUGAAUAUAUUAGCAUGGAAUAAUAACAUAGGAUCUUCGUCCUAUUUUGUUGGUUUCUAGGGCUAAGAUAAUGAUUAAUAGGGAUAAUUGGGGGCAUCUGUAUCAACGCGUCAGAGGUGGAAUUCUUGGAUUGCGUUGCGACAAACUACUGCGAAAGCAUUUGCCAAGGAUGUUUUCAUUGA
RNAcentral lists this ribosomal RNA (381 nucleotides) under uncultured eukaryote. RNAcentral's name for it is "partial 18S ribosomal RNA". It matches the Rfam family "Eukaryotic small subunit ribosomal RNA", at positions 592 to 976 of the family's 1831-position model. The record is from RNAcentral.